GAUUAAGUUAUUAAGGGCGCACGGUGGAUGCCUUGGCACUAGAAGCCGAUGAAGGACGUUACUAACGACGAUAUGCUUUGGGGAGCUGUAAGUAAGCUUUGAUCCAGAGAUUUCCGAAUGGGGAAACCCAGCAUGAGUUAUGUCAUGUUAUCGAUAUG
This 158-nucleotide ribosomal RNA is filed under the name Staphylococcus aureus. Its description in RNAcentral is "partial 23S ribosomal RNA". It matches the Rfam family "Bacterial large subunit ribosomal RNA", at positions 1 to 158 of the family's 2925-position model. The record is from RNAcentral. Lineage: Bacteria; Bacillati; Bacillota; Bacilli; Caryophanales; Staphylococcaceae.